AAGUCGUAACAAGGUUUCCGUAGGUGAACCUGCGGAAGGAUCAUUAACGUAUCUCUGGCCGGUAGGUCAGCCCUGCUCCGGUCGCAAGGCCGUGCAGCGGGCAGACUGGUCCGUGCCAAACCUUCACAAACCCCACCGUGCACUUUAACGGUCGAAGGCCUCCGGCGAGAGCCGCUGAGCCUGAAGCCGUCCAACCAAACACCUUUUUAUUGUCGUAUGAUUGCGUCCUCAGAGUCGCCUAAAACGUAACAACUUUCAACAACGGAUCUCUUGGCUCUC
Molecule: unclassified non-coding RNA, 279 nt
Filed under: air metagenome
Description: partial contains small subunit ribosomal RNA, internal transcribed spacer 1, and 5.8S ribosomal RNA
Rfam family: Eukaryotic small subunit ribosomal RNA (bases 1-46)
Source: RNAcentral